Molecule: ribosomal RNA, 562 nt
Filed under: uncultured bacterium
Lineage: Bacteria
Description: bacterial SSU rRNA
Rfam family: Bacterial small subunit ribosomal RNA
Source: RNAcentral
CCUACGGGAGGUAGCAGUGGGGAAUAUUGGACAAUGGGCGAAAGCCUGAUCCAGCAAUGCCGCGUGAGUGAUGAAGGCCUUAGGGUUGUAAAGCUCUUUUACCAGGGAUGAUAAUGACAGUACCUGGAGAAUAAGCUCCGGCUAACUCCGUGCCAGCAGCCGCGGUAAUACGGAGGGAGCUAGCGUUGUUCGGAAUUACUGGGCGUAAAGCGUACGUAGGCGGUUAUUCAAGUCAGAGGUGAAAGCCUGGAGCUCAACUCCAGAACUGCCUUUGAAACUAGGUAGCUAGAAUCACGGAGAGGUUAGUGGAAUUCCGAGUGUAGAGGUGAAAUUCGUAGAUAUUCGGAAGAACACCAGUGGCGAAGGCGACUAACUGGACGUGUAUUGACGCUGAGGUACGAAAGCGUGGGGAGCAAACAGGAUUAGAUACCCUGGUAGUCCACGCCGUAAACGAUGAUAACUAGCUGUUCGGUCUCUACGAGACUGAGUGGCGCAGCUAACGCAUUAAGUUAUCCGCCUGGGGAGUACGGUCGCAAGNUUAAAACUUAAAGGAAUUGAACGG